Molecule: ribosomal RNA, 729 nt
Filed under: bacterium
Lineage: Bacteria
Description: bacterial SSU rRNA
Rfam family: Bacterial small subunit ribosomal RNA
Source: RNAcentral
GUGACGGCGGGCGUCUUCACAUGCAGUUCGAGCGGUAAGGCCCUUUUUCCGGGGUACACGAGCGGCGAACGGGUGAGUAACACGUGGGUGAUCUGCCCUGCACUUCGGGAUAAGCCUGGGAAACUGGGUCUAAUACCGGAUAUGACCUCCUAUCGCAUGGUGGGUGGUGGAAAGAUUUAUCGGUGCAGGAUGGGCCCGCGGCCUAUCAGCUUGUUGGUGGGGUAAUGGCCUACCAAGGCGACGACGGGUAGCCGACCUGAGAGGGUGACCGGCCACACUGGGACUGAGACACGGCCCAGACUCCUACGGGAGGCAGCAGUGGGGAAUAUUGCACAAUGGGCGAAAGCCUGAUGCAGCGACGCCGCGUGAGGGAUGACGGCCUUCGGGUUGUAAACCUCUUUCAGCAGGGACGAAGCGCAAGUGACGGUACCUGCAGAAGAAGCACCGGCUAACUACGUGCCAGCAGCCGCGGUAAUACGUAGGGUGCAAGCGUUGUCCGGAAUUACUGGGCGUAAAGAGUUCGUAGGCGGUUUGUCGCGUCGUUUGUGAAAACCAGCAGCUCAACUGCUGGCUUGCAGGCGAUACGGGCAGACUUGAGUACUGCAGGGGAGACUGGAAUUCCUGGUGUAGCGGUGAAAUGCGCAGAUAUCAGGAGGAACACCGGUGGCGAAGGCGGGUCUCUGGGCAGUAACUGACGCUGAGGAACGAAAGCGUGGGUAGCGAAAGAGA